Molecule: ribosomal RNA, 657 nt
Filed under: Triticum aestivum (bread wheat)
Lineage: Eukaryota; Viridiplantae; Streptophyta; Magnoliopsida; Poales; Poaceae
Description: partial small subunit ribosomal RNA
Source: RNAcentral
AUGGGCCCUCUUGUGGUAGAACCACAUGUCAACAAUGUAACUAUUUACACUCCGAAGGACGACGCAAUUGUGCUGGCCUUCAUGAUUCCAGGACCUGGAAUCAUACCGGCCGAUGGGAAUCAAGCGUCCAUGCGAUGGAUAAAUUUUGCAAACCCGACAUGUGGCGAUGUGAAUUACCAAUGCAAGUUGAAGAAGGAUUGGCCUGUGCUGCCGGCUGGCGUCAAGUUCGAUCCCACGGAUCAGGAGCUGAUCGAGCACCUUGAGGCCAAAGUGAGUGCUGACAGCGCGAGAUUUCAGUCUCUCAUUGAUUUGUUCAUACCAACCAUCAACAGCGAGCACGGCAUAUGCUACACCCAACCUGAGAAACUUCCAGGUAUCACACUGAGUGGCCUAAGGAAGCAUUUCUUCCAGCGCAAUUCCAGGGCUUUCAAAAGGGGCAUGUGGACGCGUCGCAAGAUACAGUCGGAGUGCGGCAUGCAAACGAUGUGGCACAAGACCGGCAAUACCUUGCCGGUGAUGGUAAACGGCCGGCAGACGAGCAGCAAAAAAGGUUCUGGUGCUGCACACCAACAAGAACUUCAACCAGCAGAGGACCAAGUGGGUGAUGCACUAGUACCACCUCAGGGACCUGGAGCAAUAGAAGGAGCGGGACACUAG